AAAAUAUAUGUAUAUAUAUAUAUAUUACAAAUUAUGCUAUUAUAUUAUCGAUGGUAUCACGCAUUUGAUGUUAUUAGACUUUCGACCCUUAGAUAAAAGAAUGUGGAGUUAGAAUGAUAAUAAAUUUUUAGAAUUGAAUGGAUGAUUGGUUGAACAGUAUGAUAUAACGAAUAAAAAUAAUAAAAAAAUUAAUUUUGAUGGUGAAAAAUUGAAUAGCACCGAGCGUACGGUACUAUCGAUUCAAUACAAUAUUUUUAAAUAUUUACCUCUUUUUUCAAACAUACAGGGAAAGUAAGCACCUCAGAGAACGUAGACGGAGUAGGCUCCGUGUUCUUCCUGGAGAAGGACCUGCACCCGGGCUCAAAGAUGACCCUGCAUUUCACCCGGACCACCUCCGCCGCACUCCUCCCGCGCCGCGUCUCUGACUCGGUCCCUUUCUCCUCCGCCAAGCUCCCGGAGAUACUCUCCCGCUUUUCCGUCGACGCCGCCUCUGCAAGGGCCGACGCCAUCAAGAGCACCCUCGCCGAGUGCGAGGCCCCAGCCCUCGCCGGCGAGGCCAAGCUCUGUGCCACCUCGCUCGAGUCCAUGGUCGACUUUGCCACCGCCAGCCUCGGCACCCGCGACUUACAGGCCGUGUCCACCGCUGUUGGCCGUGAGGGUACGACACUGUAAAAUAACCGUUUUUCUCUGAAACCUAAAAAAAAAAAUCUCCUGUAAAAAUAGAAAACAAGAAAAUUUUACGUACUAGAGAGCGUCCCAACAGAAAGACAGUCUGAUCAAUCUCAGCCGGCAAAACUUGAGAGAUAUUUUUUAAUAUUUUAUAUUUGACAGGCACGCCGAAGCAGGCAUAUACGGUCGAGAGCGUAAAGAAGAUGUCCGCCCCAGGAUCCGAGCUGGUGGCGUGCCACGGCAUGAAGUACGCGUACGCGGUGUUCCACUGCCACACGACGACCGCGGCCGCCUACACCGUAUCGAUGGCGGGCGCCGACGGGACGAGGGUGAAGGCGCUCGCAGCGUGCCACACCGACGCGGCGGCCGGGGUCGAGGAGGCGUUCAAGAAGCUCAACGUCAAGCCCGGGAGCGUGCCGGUGUGCCACUUCCUUCCCCAGGAUGAUCUCCUGUGGAGCCGCAAUUAACAUGGCUGAUCAGGACAUGCGAAUUAUAACGUGUAAUGGACGGCUAUAGAUUAUAAUCCGGUCUGUGAUCCACGGUUUAUUGGGCCAGCUUAUUGGUGUACUAGCGUGUACGUGUGUUGUACUAUGUUUUCUGUGUCCAUGCAGACAUGGUUUGUCCUCGUCCAUAUCUAAACUGUAUCCAUGUUUCCUCUAUGUUAUAUAAAUAAGAAAACUUAUUUUAAAAUGUUGGUUUCCUGUAGAAACGAAUGCGUGCAACUAAUUGAGAUCUCACUUGAAAAUGCCUUGGGCAAAUGCACUCAUGUCUAUGUGAUAGUGAAUUCCUGCCAUCAUUUUAUAAUAUUUUUUUUAAAAAAAGAACUCAAAGAUAUUUAAAUUAUUUUUCAAAAAGAAUCUAUAUUGUCAAAAUUAGUUUUGAUAUUACCAGAAAAGGCUAGGCAAUAGCAGAAACUUCUGUGGCAAGUGGCAACAUCAGUUUCCAAUUUCAGAUAUCUUUUGAACUAUCAAAUCCAGGAGAAGAUAAUGUGUUUCCCAACUGGGCCUUAGCAAGUUAACGGGUUUGUUCGGCAGUGCUAAGUGGGCCCGAACGAUGAUGGGCCUCAUAGACCCUAUGGGUUGUGUACUGUAAUCGGAGCCGGAUCUUGAUGCGCUCGAUUCUGCUCCGCAUCAGGUUUAGUUUGGUCCUAAUUUGACUAGGGGUCAAACGCGAGUGGUGCGCUUGGGUGCGAGAUCCUCGGGCACAGACGACUCAGGGCGCCGUGCGGUGGAAUUGUAUCCCGUGCACGGCCCACGUGCCGCAAAUGGGCCGGAGGCUAGCCCGCCCGGCCACCCAAAAUCGGCCGUGCUUGUGGCCGGGGCCAAAAUUCUUGGAACCCGGCGCCAGCACGGCCGCUUUGGCACCGCACUGUUGCACCGGCCGUGCGGGCCGGCCGGGCAGUUCGGGCAGCCCUUUUUUUAUUUUAUCAAUUUUAUUUUAAAAAUUUUAAUAUUUUAAAAAUUAAAAAUAAAAAAUAUUUUUUAAAAAAAAUAUAUAUCAAUGAGCCUGGAAGAGGCCCAAAGCCCAAACUCCCAUGCAUUGGGAGUUGGACCAUUGGGAGUUGGAUUGUGUGUUGGAUUGUAAGCCACUCCCAUCAUUGGGAUGUUGGGGUUUGUAACAAGGCCUUGGGAGUUGGUUCCCAACUCGGGUUAGCCAACUCCUACGCCUAUAGCCCAAUCCAUGCCUGGCCGCGGCUCAAAGACGGCCUGCCACAUCGGCCGGCCGUGCUGUGCCGUGGGCCGGGCCCGGGCCAAGGUAAUUCUCAGGCCGCACGGCAAAGCCGCCGGGUCGUGCGGGGCCGUCCGGCCAGCGGCCACAGUAAGCUAAGGCCCCAGCACACUAGGUUGAUGCCGGCCGGGCUGGCAACGGCCCGCUACACGUACUGCGUGGCCGUGCCUGGCCCAGCCGACUCUCGUGCCGGGCCAGGCGGGCCGCGGGCCGCCCGGCCCGUUUGACACCCCUACAGACGACUCAGGGCGCCGUGUGGUGGAAUUGUAUCCCGUGCUCUCUCUCUCUCUCUCUCUCUCUCUCUCUCUCUCUGUUUCUCCCACGUUACGAUCCAUUUCCCCAACUCGAUCGCCCCCGACGAAACCCUCGUCGUCGUCAACCUCCUCCCCCCUCUCCGCCGCGCCAUGAAACCCUCGCAGAAUAAGAAGAAGAGCAGGAAGAAGAAGCCGAAGCCCUCUUCUCCCCUUCCGCCGCCCUCCCAAAGAUCCGACGCUGAAUCGAAGGGGGACGAAGGCGAGGAGAGGAAGGACCUGGAUUGGUUGAUCGACGAUACUAACCAAUCCAUUGAUUGUUAGCUAAAAAAAGAUUAUUUUAUAUAUUUUUUCUCAACUUUGAAAAUGUUUUUUAAAUUUUCUCUCACUUGGAGUCUGAUGAGAUUUUAAGCUCAAAGAUUUAAGUAUCCUAGUACGGAAUCAUGUCAAAAUUUCAUGCGUGUCGAAUAGUAUCGAUACGUGUAUACUGGUCAUAAAAAAUAUAUUUGUGCCGACACAUAAUGUCAUGAAAUAUUUAUUUUUUUUAGCAAUAUAAUAUUACAACCGUUAAUUAUAUAUCUUUAUCAAAUAUUUUAAAUUUUAUUGAAAAAAAUUAUUUACUAAUUUAAAAAAUAUAGAGUUUUGAGCUGUGCAAUCAGUACGAGGGCAGUAUCGUGCCGAUAUCUUGUUGACAUGAUAUAGUACGAUGGAUACGGCCGGUAUUGAUGGAUAUACUUAAAUUCUUUCGUUUAAACUUGUUGGUAGCCAAAUUCCCUAAUCCCUGACCCGGUCAAAGAUACCCCUCAGGAAGCGCGUCGGGAUGCGAAACAGCUGCGAAUAGUGACCCUCGAAGUUUGCACCCUUCGACUGGAUCAAGCGAUUCGGCUAAUGAGGGAUCGGAUCAGCCGAGUUCAAAAAUCUCUACUUUUAAAUCUGUUCGGCUGGAUGAGCCGAAUGUAUGGACUGUGCAGGGAUCAAUGUCGGCAGAAGAGCCGAAUGGAAGAAGUAUACAGUAACUGGUCGGCUGAAAGAGCCGAAUACCUAUAUAUACAUAUUAAUAAAACAAAGUGUGCCUGAAGGGCAUACAGACUCUGCAAAUAUGUAGUUUACAACAGAGUGAUACCCGUGGGGCAGACAGACUUCAGAAUUCUAUUUAAAAGCUACUCCUAUGAAAACAAUAAAUGCGAAAAAGAAAAUAUUACAUUUAGACUACUUCUAGAAAGCAAUAAAUGCAGAAAAUGAAAGAUAUGAAAAUGCGGCGGUCUUCUCGUUUACAGAAGAGAAAGACCGCUAUUGCAGGCUUUGAAAUUACUAUUUAUAGUAAUAUCAACUCACAUUAUUGGUUGGUUAAAAGUAGUGGGGGGAGUGGUUGUAACCAUGAUCGUGGAGGUUACGCCCACUCCUCAUAGAAGUUACGCCCUAUCGUAGAAGUUACGCCAACUUUUCAUGGAAGUUACGGCCCACUUCUCAACCGUUCUCGCCUAAACCUUCAGUCGCCUUAUUGCCUGCCGACUCCUGAUGUGCUACGCAGGGACGAAGCCAGAAUUCAAUCACAAGGGGGGCCAAAAUAUGUACAAAUAAAAAGUUUAGCAGAUAAAUAAAAUUUUAACUACUCAAAUUUUUAAUAAAAAAAUUUAGUGAUUAGAUAAUUAAUGUUAAAAAAUAUUAAAUUUAUUUUUUUAAUUUACACUUGCUUAACUUCUAAUUAUUUUAUUUGUAUUAUUUCAUUCAAAUAAUUUAAGAAUUUUACUAAAUCUAAUAAAAAUUUAGUUAGAAUUUAAUUUUUUUUAAAUUUUUGUUAAUAAAAUAAUAACAACCAAUGACUAAUAUCUAACAGAGCUAUUAAAUUUAGCAUACUAUUUUAUUUAGUUAAAUAAAUUAGCUCAUCAAAAUAAUUGGAAAGUUAAGAAUGUAUAAAUAAAAUAUUUAAAGUUGAAAGGACUUAUUUCAAAAUGCACUAUAAUUAAAAGGUUCUUAAUAUAUUUUCACCUAUAAAACACAUAAGAAGAGAGAGAGAGCUCUAUAUUAGCACUAAAAACUUUUUACAAAAUAGGCCGAUAUAUUUUAAAAAUUAACUGAAAAUAUAUAAACUACCAAAGAACUAUAAAGUAAAUAUUGAAAAGUUGAAGAGGGUCAUAGCUCCUUUGGGUCUAUAUAUGGAGUCUUGGCCCACAAGGCAACAAUUCUUUUCAAAAAUUUUCACUUUGGUCCCCUAAAUUUACAAUAUUUUAAUUUUUUUAAUAGCUUACUAGUGGAUUGUUCUGUAAUUUUAAAAAUGGGGGGGGGGUAUGGCCAUUGUCGGCCCCCACAUGGCUCCGUCCCUGGUGCUACGUAUCUUUAUUGAUUCAUACGUGGUUUACUUAAUUUUAAUUUUGGCAUCAAUAAAACUCAUGACUUCUUAAUUUACUACCAUGCACGUAAACUUUAUUUUCAGCAUUUAUAAUUCACAACAACCAAAACAACCAGAAAGAAUCUGUGACAUUACACCGGCCCGUGAAUGACCAUAGGCGUCAAAAUCCAAAUUAAUACUCGGCUCCAUUUGCUCCAUGAUUGCAUUGGGUCGAGCCCAUGCUCGUGCUAGAAUCACUUUCUCUCACAGUCGCCUCUUUAUGGGAGAUAGCCCACCUCUAUGGCUCUAUGCUGGCCUUUUUCUCUACCCCUACCUCUAUAAAUCCAACCCUGUUCCUCCUCACACCAUGCACAACAACAACUACUAUAUAUUUCUCAUUAAUUAAUUAAUUCGAUCUCUCUUGAAUCCAUGGCUCGCCUUUUGCCUCUCCUCUCCUUUCUUUUGGUGAGCAAAUUCAUAUACGCGACAUGCAUGCUUUCGUUAAAACAAGUGAUUCUGUAGAAGCUCUAGCUAAGUUGAAUCGGCGUGCGAUAACGUGACAUAAGUUGUGUUUUUAAGUGGAUCUAGAUAUAUAUGAUUAACUGUGCGUAAAUUAAGGAGAAAACAUUUGAUGUUCGCGCGUAUAUACAACGUGCGGCACCAGCUUAGUACCUUUUAGACCUAGAAAUGAUCAAAAUAACUGAAAUUCGUAGAAUUAUGAUUUUUUUAAAUUUUUACUUUCUUCGUGGUUUUAUUUGGCAGAUAAUGUUGUCUUUUUCCCUCACAAUUUAUUAUUUUAUUUUAUUUUUUAUAUAUAACAAAUUAUUGAUUGAUAUUUGUAUAUUUCAGCUGGCCAUUGCAGUAGGAGCGAGACAUGCAGCUUCGCCUGCAGAGGUCUACUGGCAGAACGUCCUGCCCAACUCUCCCAUGCCGAGCGCAAUCCGUGACCUGCUGCUCCCUGGUUGCUCUCUCUCUCUCUCUCAAUUAUUUUUUCUUAAAAUUUUAAAAUAUUAAAUGACAGUGUUAAAAUUUUAAAAUAUUAAAUAACAGUAUUUGUGUUUAAUUCGUAUUCAAAGUUAGCCAACUUUUGCGAGGUUUUAAAAUAACGCAUCUCACAUAGUUAGCAAAAGAACUUAUGAGUAUCCCAACUAGUUAAUACUUUUAGUUAAGUUUAUUUCUAAAAAAUGAAUGAAACAAGUAAUAUACUAUUUUUCUCUUUUAAAAAAAAAUCACUAGAUUUAGCAAAAUUUGAUAAAAAUUAUAAUCAAAUGAUCUCACAUCGUAAGAAAACAAAUUAAUGCCUAUCCCAUCUAUUUGGUUGGAAACGCACGCAUGAAAAAAAAAUAAAUAAAUAAAACUGUGAUUUGGAAAAAAAAAAAAAAAAAGAAAGAAAAAAACUCAUCUUUCCACGUUUUUUGGAAUGAAAGUUUAAUAGAGAAAAAAAUGAAGAGCAAAAAAAAUUACUCAUAAUAACAACUUUUUCUUAUCUCCUAAGUAUGAGAGAAAAAUAACAUUCUAAAAAUAUUUUUUAAUUAUUUUUAAAAAUAAGCGGGGGACUUCAAUUAUAAUCAUGCAUGCACACAAGCGCUAUCGAAUCUCAGUUACUACCCCUUAAUUCAAACAGUAUAUAUAUAUAUAUAGAGUCCGGCUACUAUACUAUCUAUAGUACGGGAGCUUCCGUACUAUAGUGUCGUUUUCGAUCUUCGGGCGUUCAAAUCAACGAUCCACACCGUUAAAACUGAUCUAGGAUAUUUAAAGUUUUUAGAAAUAAAUUUUUAUAUUUUUUCGACAUAGUUUACUUUAUGAUCAAAACAUUUUAAAAUUGUCAAUUUUCAAUGGCUAUUAUGACGAGUUGGGAGUUUAACGGUGUAGAAGAAUCUAAAUUUCUUCAAAUUUUGAUAGAAAAUACUUUAAACUAUAUAGAUUAAGGUUAACAUUCUUGAUCUUGAAUUUAAAAGUCCUAUGCUCAAAUUUUAAAGAGUAUUCAAUUCCCACCGUCAUUUUGACAUAAUUUAUUUACUAAGUAAACGAUGUCGAAAAAAUAAAAAUUUAUUUCUAAAAACUUAAAUACCCUAGAUCAUUUUUAACGUAUGGAUCGUUGAUUAAUGCCCAAGAUCGAAAACUACACUAUAGUACGGGAGCCUCCACUAUAUAUAUAUAUAUAUAUAUAUAUAUAUAUAUAUAUAUAUAUAUAUAUAUAUAUAUAUAUAUAUAUAUUACGAAUUAUGCUAUUAUAUUAUCGAUAGUAUCAAAUAUUUGAUGCUAUUAGAUUUUCGACCUUUAAAUAAAAGAACGUGUGAUUAGAAUAAUAACAAAUUCUUCGAAUUGAAUGGAUGGUUGGUUGAACAGUAUUAAUCUAAUAAAUGACAAUGAUCAAAAGAAUAAUUUUAACAGCGAAAAAUUUAAUAGCACCAAGCGUUUGAUAUAGUAUACUAUAUUUUAAAUAUUUGUCUUUUUUUGAAACAUAUAGGAAAAGUAACCACCUCAGCGAACGUAGACGGAGUAGGCUCCGUGUUCUUCCUGGAGAAGGACCUGCACCCGGGCUCAAAGAUGACCCUGCAUUUCACCCGGACCGCCUCCACCGCCACCGUGCUCCUCCCGCGCCGCGUCUCCGACUCGAUCCCUUUCUCUUCCGCCAAGCUCCCGGAGAUACUC
This 7632-nucleotide long non-coding RNA is filed under the name Ananas comosus (pineapple). Its description in RNAcentral is "long non-coding RNA (ACOM_LNC016128)". The record is from RNAcentral. Lineage: Eukaryota; Viridiplantae; Streptophyta; Magnoliopsida; Poales; Bromeliaceae.